Molecule: ribosomal RNA, 778 nt
Filed under: uncultured eukaryote
Lineage: Eukaryota
Description: bacterial SSU rRNA
Rfam family: Eukaryotic small subunit ribosomal RNA
Source: RNAcentral
CGGUGCUUACUGGCGUGUCGCGGGACGUCCUGCCGGUGGAUGCGGCUCCGGCAACGGGGCGGUCCAGACUAAUCCCAUGGCGAUGCUCUUCACCGGGUGUCGUUGUGGGCCGGCACGUUUACUUUGAACAAAUUAGAGUGCUCAAAGCAGGCCGAUUUCGCCUGAAUACUGUGUGCAUGGAAUAAUGGAAUAGGACCUCGGUUCUAUUUUGUUGGUUUUCGGAACCCCGAGGUAAUGAUUAAUAGGGACAGACGGGGGCAUUCGUACUGCGACGUUAGAGGUGAAAUUCUUGGAUCGUCGCAAGACGAACUACUGCGAAAGCAUUUGCCAAGAAUGUUUUCAUUAAUCAAGAACGAAAGUUAGAGGUUCGAAGGCGAUCAGAUACCGCCCUAGUUCUAACCAUAAACGAUGUCGACCGGCGAUCCGUCGUCGUUAACUUUAAUGACUCGACGGGCAGCCUCCGGGAAACCAGAGUGUUUGGAUUCCAGGGGGAGUAUGGUUGCAAAGCUGAAACUUAAAGGAAUUGACGGAAGGGCACCACCAGGAGUGGAGCCUGCGGCUUAAUUUGACUCAACACGGGAAAUCUCACCAGGCCCGGACACCGGAAGGAUUGACAGAUUGAGAGCUCUUUCUUGAUUCGGUGGGUGGUGGUGCAUGGCCGUUCUUAGUUGGUGGAGCGAUUUGUCUGGUUAAUUCCGAUAACGAACGAGACUCUGGCCUACUAACUAGACAUGUGAUCCUUUAUGGGUCUGAUGUAGCUUCUUAGAGGGACGGGCGG